Molecule: non-coding RNA, 127 nt
Organism: Triticum aestivum (bread wheat)
Lineage: Eukaryota; Viridiplantae; Streptophyta; Magnoliopsida; Poales; Poaceae
Source: Rfam
CUACUCCUCCCUCCGUCCGAAAUUACUUGUCGCAUAAAUGGAUUAUAAAACGGAUGUAUCUAGAAUUAAAAUACAUCUAGAUACAUUCAUUUCUCCGACAAGUAUUUUCGGGCGGAGGGAGUACUUG